Molecule: small RNA, 926 nt
Filed under: Pan troglodytes (chimpanzee)
Lineage: Eukaryota; Metazoa; Chordata; Mammalia; Primates; Hominidae
Description: retained intron
Source: RNAcentral
GAAGAAGAGGAGGAUGAUGACUGGGGAGAAGAUACAACUGAGGAAGCUCAAAGGCGUCGAAUGGAUGAAAUCAGUGACCAUGCAAAAGUCCUGACACUCAGUGAUGAUUUGGAAAGAACAAUUGAGGAGAGGGUCAAUAUCCUCUUUGAUUUUGUUAAGAAAAAGAAAGAAGAGGGUGUUAUUGAUUCAUCUGACAAAGAAAUCGUUGCUGAAGCAGAAAGACUGGAUGUAAAAGCCAUGGGCCCUCUUGUUCUAACUGAAGUUCUUUUUAAUGAGAAGAUUAGAGAACAGAUUAAGAAAUACAGGCGCCAUUUCCUACGAGUAAGCAAAGUGCUCUGGAUUCAUAAAUGAGACUACAGCUGUGUGGCUUUCGAGAUGGUCAUUUUAACCACUCUUGCUUGUCCUGUCAUGCUUGAAAGUGGGGAAAUUGACCCACCUUACAAGCCUCUGAGUAUCUGAAAGUGCCGUACCUAGGCCCUUACAAAGUAAUAGGGAUGUUUAUGCAUUGACCUUUUUGAACCACUAUGGUAUGGACCAUGCACUUGCAGACACUCUUAUUUGGGUAAUAGAGUUGUCAACUUAGAACACAUAAAAAAGCUUGUUAACACCAAGGUGUCUAUUUGCAGUUUUGUCACAACAACAAAAAAGCUCAACGGUACCUUCUUCAUGGUUUGGAGUGUGUGGUAGCAAUGCAUCAAGCUCAGCUUAUCUCCAAGAUUCCACAUAUCUUGAAGGAGAUGUACGAUGCAGACCUUUUAGAAGAAGAGGUCAUCAUCAGCUGGUCAGAAAAGGCCUCUAAGAAAUAUGUCUCCAAAGAACUUGCCAAAGAGAUUCGUGUCAAAGCAGAACCAUUUAUAAAAUGGUUGAAGGAGGCAGAGGAAGAAUCUUCUGGUGGCGAAGAAGAAGAUGAAGAUGAGAACAUUGAG